Molecule: ribosomal RNA, 496 nt
Filed under: uncultured bacterium
Lineage: Bacteria
Description: partial 16S ribosomal RNA
Rfam family: Bacterial small subunit ribosomal RNA
Source: RNAcentral
AUGAACGCUGGCGGCGUGCCUAAUACAUGCAAGUUGAGCGAACAGACGAGGAGCUUGCUCCUCUGACGUUAGCGGCGGACGGGUGAGUAACACGUGGAUAACCUACCUAUAAGACUGGGAUAACUUCGGGAAACCGGAGCUAAUACCGGAUAAUAUAUUGAACCGCAUGGUUCCAUAGUGAAAGACGGUUUUGCUGUCACUUAUAGAUGGAUCCGCGCCGCAUUAGCUAGUUGGUAAGGUAACGGCUUACCAAGGCGACGAUGCGUAGCCGACCUGAGAGGGUGAUCGGCCACACUGGAACUGAGACACGGUCCAGACUCCUACGGGAGGCAGCAGUAGGGAAUCUUCCGCAAUGGGCGAAAGCCUGACGGAGCAACGCCGCGUGAGUGAUGAAGGUCUUCGGAUCGUAAAACUCUGUUAUUAGGGAAGAACAAAUGUGUAAGUAACUAUGCACGUCUUGACGGUACCUAAUCAGAAAGCCACGGCUAACUACGUG